This 450-nucleotide ribosomal RNA is filed under the name uncultured bacterium. RNAcentral's name for it is "partial 16S ribosomal RNA". It matches the Rfam family "Bacterial small subunit ribosomal RNA", at positions 29 to 523 of the family's 1533-position model. The record is from RNAcentral.
AACGAACGCUGGCGGCAUGCCUAACACAUGCAAGUCGAACGAAGCCUUCGGGCUUUGUGGCGGACGGGUGCGUAACGCGUGGGAAUUUGCACUUAGGUGCGGAACAACUUGGGGAAACUUGAGCUAAUACCGCAUAAUUACUCCGGUCCAAAGAUUUAUGGCCUAAGGAUGAGCCCGUGUCGGAUUAGCUAGUUGGUGAGGGAAAGGCUCACCAAGGCGACGAUCCGUAGCUGGGCUGAGAGGAUAGAUCAGCAAAACUGGGACGGAGACACGACCCAGACUCCUACGGGAGGCAGCAGUGGGGAAUAUUGGACAAUGGGCGAAAGCCUGAUACAGCAAUGCCGCGUGAGUGAUGAAGGCCUUAGGGUUGUAAAGCUCUUUUACCCGGGAUGAUAAUGACAGUACCGGGAGAAUAAGCCCCGGCUAACUCCGUGCCAGCAGCCGCGGUAA